Molecule: ribosomal RNA, 323 nt
Filed under: uncultured eukaryote
Lineage: Eukaryota
Description: partial 18S ribosomal RNA
Rfam family: Eukaryotic small subunit ribosomal RNA
Source: RNAcentral
CCCUUAGAUGUCCUGGGCCGCACGCGCGCUACACUGACAUGUUCAACAAGCCUCCUAGUUCGACAGGAUUUGGGAAAUCUUUGAACGCAUGUCGUGAUAGGGAUAGAUCAUUGCAAUUAUUGAUCUUGAACGAGGAAUUCCUAGUAAACGCGAGUCAUCAGCUCGCAUUGAUUACGUCCCUGCCCUUUGUACACACCGCCCGUCGCACCUACCGAUUGAAUGUUUCGGUGAAGCCUCGGGAUUGUGGCCAGUUCACUUUAUUGGGAGUUGGCUGUGAGAACUUGUCUAAACCUUAUCAUUUAGAGGAAGGUGAAGUCGUAACA